This 200-nucleotide ribosomal RNA is filed under the name uncultured bacterium. Its description in RNAcentral is "partial 16S ribosomal RNA". It matches the Rfam family "Bacterial small subunit ribosomal RNA", at positions 8 to 210 of the family's 1533-position model. The record is from RNAcentral.
AGAGUUUGAUCAUGGCUCAGGACGAACGCUGGCGGCGUGCUUAACACAUGCAAGUCGAGCGGAAAGGCCCUUCGGGGUACUCGAGCGGCGAACGGGUGAGUAACACGUGAGGAACCUGCCCUUAGCUCUGGGAUAGCUCCGGGAAACCGGAAUUAAUACCGGAUAUGACCUCGGCCGACAUCUGCCGAGGUGGAAAGUUU